CAUGGGUCCCUGCAUGACACCCAUCUGCGCUCCACCCGCCUUCUCAUCGAAGCCGCCCGCCAUCUGCGCCGCAAAGUUUCCACCAAGUCCGGGGGGCCAGGAGGUCCGGGGGGACCGGGGGGGCCUGGGUUUCCAGGGGUGCCGGGUUCUCCAUCCCUUCCACGGGGGCCAGGAGCACCCUUCUCCCCCUUCUCGCCACGGUCCCCUCGCUGUCCCUGCUCUCCUGCUGGGCCCUGUGGUCCUGGAGGCCCUCGGGGUCCUACAACAUCUUUAAUAUCUCCGGGUUCUCCCUUCUGUCCCUUGGGGCCAGGUUGUCGGAGGUCGCGGUCCUGCGCGGCUGCGGCGGCCGUGAGAAGGAGGAGGAGGAGGAGGAGAGCGGCGGAGCGGGGCGGGCGGCGGCCGUGCAUGGCGGGCGGCGGAGCCCCUCUCACCGUCCGUCGGGCCGAGCAGUGCCGCACCGCCCCGACGCCGCGUAUAUGUCCCGGCGCGGCCCCCCGGGCUCUGUAACCCGAGCCGGGACGGCCCCCCCGACCCUCCUCCGGGACGGCACCGGCG
RNAcentral lists this long non-coding RNA (555 nucleotides) under Gallus gallus (chicken). Lineage: Eukaryota; Metazoa; Chordata; Aves; Galliformes; Phasianidae. The record is from RNAcentral.